AUCCAACUAACAGGUCCGAAAUAGGACGACACGCGCGUCCUGGAU
RNAcentral lists this non-coding RNA (45 nucleotides) under Schistosoma haematobium. Lineage: Eukaryota; Metazoa; Platyhelminthes; Trematoda; Strigeidida; Schistosomatidae. The record is from RNAcentral.